This 355-nucleotide ribosomal RNA is filed under the name uncultured Rhodococcus sp. RNAcentral describes it as "bacterial SSU rRNA". It matches the Rfam family "Bacterial small subunit ribosomal RNA", at positions 91 to 447 of the family's 1533-position model. The record is from RNAcentral. Lineage: Bacteria; Bacillati; Actinomycetota; Actinomycetes; Mycobacteriales; Nocardiaceae.
ACGAGCGGCGAACGGGUGAGUAACACGUGGGUGAUCUGCCCUGCACUCUGGGAUAAGCUUGGGAAACUGGGUCUAAUACCGGAUAUGACCACAUGCCGCAUGGUGUGUGGUGGAAAGAUUUAUCGGUGCAGGAUGGGCCCGCGGCCUAUCAGCUUGUUGGUGGGGUAAUGGCCUACCAAGGCGACGACGGGUAGCCGACCUGAGAGGGUGACCGGCCACACUGGGACUGAGACACGGCCCAGACUCCUACGGGAGGCAGCAGUGGGGAAUAUUGCACAAUGGGCGGAAGCCUGAUGCAGCGACGCCGCGUGAGGGAUGAAGGCCUUCGGGUUGUAAACCUCUUUCAGCAGGGACG